Molecule: transfer RNA, 31 nt
Filed under: Callisaurus draconoides crinitus
Lineage: Eukaryota; Metazoa; Chordata; Lepidosauria; Squamata; Phrynosomatidae
Description: partial tRNA-Thr
Source: RNAcentral
GUCUCUGUAGCUUAAAUACCUUAAAGCAUUG